RNAcentral lists this ribosomal RNA (429 nucleotides) under Chloroflexota bacterium. RNAcentral describes it as "Chloroflexi bacterium partial 16S ribosomal RNA". It matches the Rfam family "Bacterial small subunit ribosomal RNA", at positions 355 to 776 of the family's 1533-position model. Lineage: Bacteria; Bacillati; Chloroflexota. The record is from RNAcentral.
UGGGGAAUAUUGCACAAUGGGCGCAAGCCUGAUGCAGCCAUGCCGCGUGUGUGAAGAAGGUCUUCGGGUUGUAAAGCACUUUUAGCGGGGAGGAAGGCGGUGAGGUUAAUAACCUCAUCGAUUGACGUCACCCGCAGAAGAAUCACCGGCUAACUCCGUGCCAGCAGCCGCGGUAAUACGGAGGGUGCAAGCGUUAAUCGGAAUUACUGGGCGUAAAGCGCACGCAGGCGGUCUGUCAAGUCGGAUGUGAAAUCCCCGGGCUCAACCUGGGAACUGCAUUCGAAACUAACAGGCUAGAGUCUUGUAGAGGGGGGUAGAAUUCCAGGUGUAGCGGUGAAAUGCGUCGAGAUCUGGAGGAAUACCGGUGGCGAAGGCGGCCCCCUGGACAAAGACUGACGCUCAAGUGCGAAAACGUGGGGAGCAAACGGG